GUUGGGCUCGCUAACUUCGGUUGGCGGGUUCGAUGUUUUUACACACCUGUUUACCUUUACCUAGUUUCUUCCCUGAUCUAGGGUGCCCUGGCUGUCAGUAGCGUUCCUACUGGCAGGGUUGGGUUACCUUUCAGGGGUUUUUUGUUACAUGUUUCUUUAGCUGAAUUGUCUGAAUACAAAUUGAAAAAUUAAAACUUUCAACAACGGAUCUCUAGGUUCUCGCAUCGAUGAAGAAUGCAGCGAAAUGCGAUAAGUAGUGUGAAUUGCAGAUUUCAGUGAAUCAUCGAAUCUUUGAACGCACAUUGCGCCCUCUGGUAUUCCGGAGGGCAUGCCUGUCUGAGCGCCAAUAAAUCUCUCAAACUUAAUUGUUUGGUCUUGGGGCAUGUGGCUUCUAGCUACAGCUCUUAAAACUAUUGGCGAUACUUGUUCACCUUGUAAGACGUAGUAAGUAAUUUCUCGUUGAAGCAACUGAAUAGGUGUCUGCCAACUGAACCGAUUUAUUUAACAGCUUGACCUCAGAUCAGGUAGGGAUACCCCCUGAACUUAAGCAUAUCAAUAAGCGGAGGA
This 567-nucleotide ribosomal RNA is filed under the name uncultured Pezizales. RNAcentral's name for it is "eukaryotic LSU rRNA". The stretch from base 193 to 346 matches the Rfam family "5.8S ribosomal RNA". Lineage: Eukaryota; Fungi; Ascomycota; Pezizomycetes; Pezizales. The record is from RNAcentral.